Molecule: ribosomal RNA, 326 nt
Filed under: uncultured eukaryote
Lineage: Eukaryota
Description: partial 18S ribosomal RNA
Rfam family: Eukaryotic small subunit ribosomal RNA
Source: RNAcentral
CCCUUAGAUGUUCUGGGCUGCACGCGCGCUACACUGAUGCGCUCAACGAGUUUAUGACCUUGCCCGGAAGGGUUGGGUAAUCUUUUCAAAACGCAUCGUGAUGGGGAUAGAUUAUUGCAAUUAUUAAUCUUCAACGAGGAAUUCCUAGUAAGCGCGAGUCAUCAGCUCGUGCUGAUUACGUCCCUGCCCUUUGUACACACCGCCCGUCGCUCCUACCGAUUGUGUGAUCCGGUGAAUAAUUCGGACUGCAGCAAUGUUCAGCUCCUGAAUGUUGCAGCGGAAAGUUUAGUGAACCUUAUCACUUAGAGGAAGGAGAAGUCGUAACA